GACAGGUGCUGCAUGGCUGUCGUCAGCUCGUGUUGUGAAAUGUUGGGUUAAGUCCCGCAACGAGCGCAACCCUUAUCCUUGUUUGCCAGCGAGUAAUGUCGGGAACUCCAGGGAGACUGCCGGUGAUAAACCGGAGGAAGGUGGGGACGACGUCAAGUCAUCAUGGCCCUUACGAGUAGGGCUACACACGUGCUACAAUGGCGCAUAC
RNAcentral lists this ribosomal RNA (208 nucleotides) under Vibrio parahaemolyticus. Its description in RNAcentral is "partial 16S ribosomal RNA". It matches the Rfam family "Bacterial small subunit ribosomal RNA", at positions 1033 to 1240 of the family's 1533-position model. The record is from RNAcentral. Lineage: Bacteria; Pseudomonadati; Pseudomonadota; Gammaproteobacteria; Vibrionales; Vibrionaceae.